CCUACGGGAGGCAGCAGUGAGGAAUAUUGCACAAUGGGCGAAAGCCUGAUGCAGCGACGCCGCGUGCGGGAAGAAGGCCUUCGGGUUGUAAACCGCUUUUCUGGGGGACGAGCAAGGACGGUACCUCAGGAAUAAGUCCCGGCUAACUACGUGCCAGCAGCCGCGGUAAUACGUAGGGGGCAAGCGUUAUCCGGAAUCACUGGGCGUAAAGGGCGUCUAGGCGGCAAGGCAAGUCUCGCGUAAAAGCUCCCGGCUCAACUGGGAGAGCGCGCGGGAAACUGCCUGGCUAGAGACUCGGAGAGGGGUGUGGAAUUCCCGGUGGAGUGGUGAAAUGCGUUGAGAUCGGGAGGAACACCAGUAGCGAAGGCGGCACCCUGGCCGAGUUCUGACGCUGAAGCGCGACAGCGUGGGGAGCAAACGGGAUUAGAUACCCCGGUAGUCCACGCCGUAAACGAUGACAACUAGGUGUCGGGCAUCUAAGGAUGUUCGUGCCGCAGCCAACGCGAUAAGUUGACCGCCUGGGGAGUACGGCCGCAAGGCUAAAACUCAAAUGAAUUGACGG
This 562-nucleotide ribosomal RNA is filed under the name uncultured bacterium. Its description in RNAcentral is "bacterial SSU rRNA". It matches the Rfam family "Bacterial small subunit ribosomal RNA", at positions 338 to 916 of the family's 1533-position model. The record is from RNAcentral.